GGAGAGGUGGCCGAGUAGGUCGAAGGCGCUCGCCUGCUAAGCGAGUGAACCCCCAAAAGGGGUUCCGCGGGUUCGAAUCCCGCCCUCUCCG
This 91-nucleotide transfer RNA is filed under the name Deferribacter thermophilus. RNAcentral describes it as "tRNA-Ser". It matches the Rfam family "tRNA". Rfam says of the family: Transfer RNA (tRNA) molecules are approximately 80 nucleotides in length. Their secondary structure includes four short double-helical elements and three loops (D, anti-codon, and T loops). The record is from RNAcentral. RNAcentral also lists the same sequence under 1 other name. Lineage: Bacteria; Pseudomonadati; Deferribacterota; Deferribacteres; Deferribacterales; Deferribacteraceae.